UACGUAGGGAGCAAGCGUUGUCCGGAUUUAUUGGGCGUAAAGAGCUCGUAGGCGGCUUAGCAAGUCGGGUGUGAAACCUCCAGGCUCAACCUGGAGACGCCACUCGAUACUGCUAUGGCUUGAGUUCGGUAGGGGACCAUGGAAUUCCUGGUGUAGCGGUGAAAUGCGCAGAUAUCAGGAGGAACACCGGUGGCGAAGGCGGUUCUCUGGGCAUUACCUGACGCUGAGGAGCGAAAGUGUGGGGAGCGAACAGG
This 254-nucleotide ribosomal RNA is filed under the name uncultured bacterium. Its description in RNAcentral is "partial 16S ribosomal RNA". It matches the Rfam family "Bacterial small subunit ribosomal RNA", at positions 524 to 776 of the family's 1533-position model. The record is from RNAcentral.